UAGCAAGAACCUCCCCAAAAUUUAUUUCAUUUGGAGCAAAAUAUUGCCCUUUCUCACUCUCCUCCCAUUUUCAGCAGUGUUUUAUUUAGGACUUCAGACAAACAAAACUUCAGUUAGUCACUCAGCUCUGUUGAAUACCAGGAGACCUCUUCUACCAAGUGGCACAGCUUUCUGUCAGUCCUUUGGCUGGUUAUCUAAGCCAUGCCAAUCUUGUAUGAACACUCUCCCUUCCUGUUACUCUCUCACGUUGCCUGAAUAGGAAAUCAAACACAAUGGAAAUGGUGCACACAAAUGCCCAUUAAAAUCAGGAUCUCAUAGAUCUAGUGGAUACCCAUUUUGUUACAACUACAGACUAUGUGAGGAAACAGCAGACUCCUCAUUCAGGGCACAAAAGGAACCAUAGCUCUCAAGAUGGCAAUUUCCAAUCCAUACAGCUCCCAAUGCUGUUCAAUAUAUCCCCUCUCUGGGUUCAUGGUGCAGCUGCAGUCAAACUUAUCAUUACUAUUAAAUGAAGAUAUCAAUGAUUAAUAGUGCCUCAGAGAUUUCUCACAGAUGAUGGAAGAUGUUAAACAUCUCAGUAGCACAUCUGCAGUCUUUGAAGAAGCCUUUGCCUUGAGUUGCCCUGACUGUUGGAGUGGAAGGGAAGUUGGAAGACACAAAAUAACAGUGACAAAGGAAAACAGAGAGGAACAAGAGCCACGAGACAACUUCUGACAGCUCAGUGCACUGCACUGACACGAGACACUGAUGACUUCAUUACUGACUAACUUUCUUCUAAGUGGAACUGAUGUGCCUGCAGUUUCAGUGCAGGAAGGUAGUUUAAAUGCCAAAAUAAUUCAGCAGGCUCUGCCUACUUUAUUUUUCCUCAGCUAUCUAGUUGUGAAGGUGUAAAUAUUGUAACCCCAAAGGGGUUUUAGGGAUCAUUAGUGGCACAGAAGGCUGAAGACAUGAGUGACGCUUGGCUGAAAGCCUGUGACUGAUUGGUAGCCACAAAUAUGGUUUUGAACUAUGGAAGAGGAGUGAAAUCAUCAUCAUUAGGAAGGAAAUGGAAGAUGGAAGCAAGAUGACUUUUUUCACAGGGAAUUCAAUGAUUUUUACCUUUGCCUUCAGCUUGUGUUUCUGGAAGAAAAUUUUAAAAGAUAAGGGAGAGAAAAUAACCGUGAUAACAUUUAAAAACCACAAAGACUAGAAAGAUUAGCAAGGGCACAGGUAACACAGUGAAACAUCACUACCCUUUAGUGAAUUUGUUCUUAUGUUCCUAUUAGUGAAGCCAAAAAGAUGUUGUUUUUCUUUUUCAAAAGUAUUUAUAAAGUAUAACUUAUAAAGUAUAAAUGAGAGCAGGAGGGAGAAAGUAGCUAGUAGUUGACUUCUAGAAACAAUUUCCGGUCAAAACACAGUCACUUUAUGAACUGUUUAAAAAAAGUAACCUUCCACCAGAAUAGCAGUACAUAAAAUACCUGUCUAUGUGCUGAAAAAAUCCUCACUUUACGUUUCAUUCUACAGUGUAAUCUGCUUAAGUCCAACUUUAACCUUCAGAGCAUGACAAACAGCUGUCCGUUAAAAAAAAAUUAAAAGCACUCUAAAGUAAGCACAAAGAAGAAAUAAGUAACUUAUUUUAUUUGAUGAAAGAAGAAAAAGAGGGAGGUGGGAGAAAAUGAAGUUUCUCUGAGGCCUUGUAAAGGUUGUCUUUCUUACUGUGCUUUAUCUACAGCUUCAUUCACUCUGUUUUCAUGCAUUUCACUGGUGAAAAUUUGCAGGGGAAAAAAAAAAAAGUAACUCCUUUUUGACUUUUUUCCAAAAUAAUAGCUAUAAAAAAGAGAACUAUAGAAAUAAAUAGGUUAUUACAUCAAGAACAAGAGUCUUGCCUGAAGUGAAAGGAGAGUUGCACUAAAUGAAACACAAUUGACUACACUAGACACUGGACCAAGUACUGUGUGCUGUUGAGUUAAAAUAAUGUAUUUUCAUCAUAAAUCUGGAGCCUAACCUGACCUUUACAAUACAUUGGAAGGAUUUAACAGACUGAUCCUGAAUAAGGUGUUUGGGGAAGACAUCACUGAAAGCCAAGGUUUCUUUUAUUUUAUUCUCUUUUCUUGGCUUUUCCAUUCCAGCCCCUAACAAAAUUAAAGGGACACACAAUGCAGAUGAAGCCUACAGGUCACUUAUCAACCCCUCAAAAACAAGCUCCUGUGUCUUGCCCUGUUCUGCUUAGCUGACCUCAGUAAUGGGAGGGCAGUGAAACCAGCCACAGAUCAGGCAGCGAGAGGGUUAUGGGGAGCCAGGGAAGGGGAGGGAUGCUAUCUGCACCUAAGAUCUUAGUGUUUUUGAAAAGUAUGGAAUCUUUUGUUGUGCAAUUGGAAGCUGAGUUGAGGGUAUACUGGGAUGAAAAAAUUACUUAUUUUUUACCUUGGACAGUGUCCAGAACUUCAAAAUAAAGCACAGAAUAGUAAGCCAUUCUAGAAUUUACUAACGAAAUUUGUAAGUGUUCUGAAUUAGAGGAGGAUGAGGUGCUCUUUAUGUCUUUGUCUUGUAGUUUAAUUAAAUUUGCCCACUUUGGAAGUACUAAUUCAGGCAUGGCAUAAGUUAUUUACUCGUUCCAUUCACCAUAGCACAUGAAGAUAAUAACACAACGCCAGUGACUUAAGAGAAUGAGAAAGCAAUAAUGCCUUUCUGAUUUUUUUUCUUUCCCAAUUUAAAUCAUUAAACUCAUUGGGAAUCACCAGCACAAGCACAAGAGCUCCCUCCUUUUCAAAGGAGCAAAGAGACACCACAGACAAGUGGAUGCAUUUUGGGGCAUAUAAGUAGGGGAGGGAAAGCCAGCUUCACAGCGUGUAUGUCUUUCCCUCUCAUCGUGCCAAAUUACCUCUGAACUACCUGAAGGAGUCUGGAAAGCCAAGGGGGGAGAGUAUCUACUGCCACCUUCUCAGGUUAGAGGGGGUGAUAAUUAAGACAUCCUCCCUGGAUGAUUGCAGCAGACUCUCUUGUCUCCUUUGCCGUCUGUGUGACACUGGUGGCAUGACUGAUCCUCUGGGCCGUGUACACAAAGUUUUGAGUGUCAGCAAUGGGAAAACAUUCAGAACAACUAAAAAACGCUUUAGCACAUAUGAGAUUCAGACCAAUGAUGGCUAAAUUGAAUAUCAGUCUUAUCCGUCCAACUGACAUGUAUUUGGGUUGAUCAUCCCUGCUGCAAACCUCACCUAUAAAAAUGAGCCACAAAGAAAUGUCUGCAUAGCCCCCAUCUUUGCACAACCUGCUGCUUCACAAUAUUGGCAAGCCAAAGAUGCUCAUCAUCAGUGAGCUGGGUUGUCAAAACUGGCUAAAUGGCAGUCCUUGCUGAGUGUCCACGCCCUGGUGAAAGGAAGCCUUCUAGCAAUAAAUUGCAUCAUUGCCUUAGAUAACUGUUGGCACAGGCCUUCCUUGAAGCCAUGGUCAAACACUAACAUAAGGUCUCACUGUAACAAAAUAGCAGGGCUACAUGUUUCAUUGCCUUGAAGUCAGCUAACAACUCUGUAACCUCUCCAGCCAGCAAUAAAAAAAGGACUAAAUGUAUUUUGAACCUAACUGCAACUUUGCCUCAGAGAAGAAGCCAAGUUAAUGACAUGAAAAGCAGCAGGUAAUUAAUACUGAGUAAAGGGUAAAGGAAAAGGCUGUAUAACAAGGGAAAGGCCACACUAAGACAGCAAAAAGCUACCAUCUUCAGGAGUUGUCUUGGUCAAAAAACCCAGACAUAUAAAUAAUGAAUUAAUCCUGCAGGUGGGACUGUUGAUGCUCUGGUAUCAUAAAGUUUUGUCAUGUCUAGAACGGCCACUGUCAACACCUACAGUGAAGAGAUUGAUUUACAUCCAGUGAAUGCACUAGCAACCUAAUAAUAACAAUAUGUUUUCCAAAUAGGUCACUCUGGAAAACCUGGCUUUAUUAUAAUUAUACAUGUUGGACAUACUGGCAUCUUGAAUUAUGGGAUCAUAGGCUAUACUCUCAUCAAUUACAUUAUGUUGCUGAUUUUAUACAUAUAUUGUGGUUGUAAUUUAUGUGUCAAUUUAUAUUUAUUCCCCCACCUGACAUUGUUCUUCAGUUUAAGAAUGAUUUGUUUUUUUUGUUCCAGUGUUAUUUUGACCUUAAUAAGGAUUGUCUUACUGCAAAGUGAAUUAUUAGUAUGUGGACCUCUUGGGCAAAGGUUGGUGCUCAGAGGAAUACAAACCACUUUUUUCAGGUGUCCCCAUUGUUUGGGGUCUUUGUUCUCUUAGUUCACCAUGGAAGCCAAACUGUACAGAUCAGAUCCCAUGGCCAAAGCUGUGUCAGGAAAGACGCCUUUGAGGAGGUUUAAACUUUGAGGUACUGCUUUCCUGAGAGGCACUGGGUACAGCCCUUUUGGGGUUUGUCCCCUAGACCAAUGUGGUGCCUACCCCAGCCUUGUUCACACAAACCUCUCUGUCCACCUGCUGUUUUCUUUGUUUCCAAUGGGGAUCUCAGCAAGCAGCUUUGUAGCUCCUUACAGAAAUCCUUCACUCUCUGGUAUCCUGUGAUUUCAAGACCUCUUCUACUGCUGCUGGCACUGAAGGGAACUGAGAAAUCUGUCACUGAUGAUGAUUCUUCUAAUUAACUUAAUCCAUUUUAAAGUCUCCAUUUUUAGACAGGGAGCUUGUGUGCCUGACUGUUGAAGAUGACUUAAUUCAGACAAGAUCCAAACACCAUUUUGGAGUUGUUGAAUGCUACAAUCUGAAGUCAGUGGGAAAUUCCACAGGGUCAACUCACUUGAACAAGACCCGUGAAAAUUGUCUUUAACUGUCCCACAAGAGGCUGAAAAUGUAUAAAAACACAGCUGAGAAAAAGAUAGUAUGUACUGUGGAAAGUAAAUUCCACAGGUAGUCAAGUCUGUUAUUCAAGAAGAAUUUCUAAUUUCUCUCUGCUCUCAGCAAGCAAAUGCAUGUUCAGCCAUGUACAGAAACAAAAACUGCUGAUAUUCUGAAGGUUUAAAUGAAAAAUACAAAAAUGAUUGCUUAAAGUAUUUUAGUCUAUUUUGUAUUUAAAAUGGAUUUUUGUGUUUUUAUUUUAAUUAUAUUUACUGCAUAACUCACAAAGAUCAGUUUAUUCAUACAAAUUUUUCUUUUAAGGUAACGUAAAAAAGUCAAUAAAUAUCUAAAACUAUUACAAUAGGCUUUGCAAUGACAUAACACCAUUCAGUUAUGCUGUGAUCUUUUUAAUAUACCUCUUUCUUGUGUUACCGCCUUUUCAGGUUUCUCUGUACUUCAUCAUUUCCUUCUGGAUUAUUGUAGACUGCAAUUGUUCUAGAUGGUGUCUUGAUGUUGCCUAUGUCAUGUGUAAAACACCUUUUUCUGUGUGGCAAAGAAUAUGACAAAAUAAUUAAAAAUAUUAUUUACUAUUCUCUA
Molecule: long non-coding RNA, 5384 nt
Organism: Columba livia (rock pigeon)
Lineage: Eukaryota; Metazoa; Chordata; Aves; Columbiformes; Columbidae
Exons: 5
Source: RefSeq, a predicted model, not a curated record